AUGCGCGCUCUUCGGCACAAGGACAAGGAGAAAAUGAUAAACAAAAAAAGGCAGGGCGCAGGUGGUACUGCAUGCAGUCCACUCCUCGGCACGUACGUACGUACUGCUAGCUCGCCGCGGCAGCCGGCAGAGCCUGAUGAGAAGGCCAGGCUAGUUGUGCAGCGGAUUGGGGCCCUGGGGUACCAUCCUCUUGGACUCGUCGUACGCCGCUCCUCCCGCCUCGCCGGCGCACGCCGCCGGUCCUGUAUGAAGCACCGUGCCGCCGCGCUUCCGCGCUGCAGCUGCAGCCGUCGCCGCCGCUACUGCGUCCGCCUUGAGAACUCCGCAGAUGCAGGCCGCGGUGCCCAGCUCGGUCGCCACCAGCAGGAGCAGCAGCAGAAGCGACAACGAGAGCGUGUCUGGCAAUGGAGGAGUGCCAGCGCCACCGGCGCGUCGUCUCAUGGCCGACGGCGGAGCUUGGCUAAGGCAGCGGAUUGGAGGGACAGAGCAGGUGGUGGUUUGGUUGUCCCGUGGCGAGAUUUGAGGAGUUGUCUGCGUUGUGUAGGGAGGUAG
RNAcentral lists this ribosomal RNA (552 nucleotides) under Triticum aestivum (bread wheat). RNAcentral describes it as "partial small subunit ribosomal RNA". The record is from RNAcentral. Lineage: Eukaryota; Viridiplantae; Streptophyta; Magnoliopsida; Poales; Poaceae.